RNAcentral lists this ribosomal RNA (1145 nucleotides) under Microbacterium sp. 450B4_12ECASO. RNAcentral's name for it is "bacterial SSU rRNA". It matches the Rfam family "Bacterial small subunit ribosomal RNA", at positions 54 to 1206 of the family's 1533-position model. Lineage: Bacteria; Bacillati; Actinomycetota; Actinomycetes; Micrococcales; Microbacteriaceae. The record is from RNAcentral.
CAUGCAAGUCGAACGAUGAAGCUGGGUGCUUGCACUUGGUGGAUUAGUGGCGAACGGGUGAGUAACACGUGAGCAACCUGCCCCUGACUCUGGGAUAAGCGCUGGAAACGGCGUCUAAUACCGGAUAUGUACCGUGGUCGCAUGAUCUGCGGUUGGAAAGAUUUUUCGGUUGGGGAUGGGCUCGCGGCCUAUCAGCUUGUUGGUGAGGUAAUGGCUCACCAAGGCGUCGACGGGUAGCCGGCCUGAGAGGGUGACCGGCCACACUGGGACUGAGACACGGCCCAGACUCCUACGGGAGGCAGCAGUGGGGAAUAUUGCACAAUGGGCGGAAGCCUGAUGCAGCAACGCCGCGUGAGGGAUGACGGCCUUCGGGUUGUAAACCUCUUUUGGCAGGGAAGAAGCGAGAGUGACGGUACCUGCAGAAAAAGCGCCGGCUAACUACGUGCCAGCAGCCGCGGUAAUACGUAGGGCGCAAGCGUUAUCCGGAAUUAUUGGGCGUAAAGAGCUCGUAGGCGGUUUGUCGCGUCUGCUGUGAAAUCCCGAGGCUCAACCUCGGGCUUGCAGUGGGUACGGGCAGACUAGAGUGCGGUAGGGGAGAUUGGAAUUCCUGGUGUAGCGGUGGAAUGCGCAGAUAUCAGGAGGAACACCGAUGGCGAAGGCAGAUCUCUGGGCCGUAACUGACGCUGAGGAGCGAAAGGGUGGGGAGCAAACAGGCUUAGAUACCCUGGUAGUCCACCCCGUAAACGUUGGGAACUAGUUGUGGGGUCCUUUCCACGGAUUCCGUGACGCAGCUAACGCAUUAAGUUCCCCGCCUGGGGAGUACGGCCGCAAGGCUAAAACUCAAAGGAAUUGACGGGGACCCGCACAAGCGGCGGAGCAUGCGGAUUAAUUCGAUGCAACGCGAAGAACCUUACCAAGGCUUGACAUACACGAGAACGGGCCAGAAAUGGUCAACUCUUUGGACACUCGUGAACAGGUGGUGCAUGGUUGUCGUCAGCUCGUGUCGUGAGAUGUUGGGUUAAGUCCCGCAACGAGCGCAACCCUCGUUCUAUGUUGCCAGCACGUAAUGGUGGGAACUCAUGGGAUACUGCCGGGGUCAACUCGGAGGAAGGUGGGGAUGACGUCAAAUCAUCAUGCCCCUUAUG